UACGGAGGGUGCAAGCGUUAUCCGGAUUCACUGGGUUUAAAGGGUGCGUAGGCGGGUUGGUAAGUCCGUGGUGAAAUCUCCAAGCUUAACUUGGAAACUGCCGUGGAUACUAUCAAUCUUGAAUAUCGUGGAGGUAAGCGGAAUAUGUCAUGUAGCGGUGAAAUGCUUAGAUAUCAGGGGGAACACCGGUGGCGAAAGCGCACGACUGGACCUCUUCUGACGCUGAGGCGCGAAAGCCAGGGGAGCAAACGGG
This 253-nucleotide ribosomal RNA is filed under the name uncultured bacterium. RNAcentral describes it as "partial 16S ribosomal RNA". It matches the Rfam family "Bacterial small subunit ribosomal RNA", at positions 524 to 776 of the family's 1533-position model. The record is from RNAcentral.